Molecule: ribosomal RNA, 484 nt
Filed under: uncultured bacterium
Lineage: Bacteria
Description: partial 16S ribosomal RNA
Rfam family: Bacterial small subunit ribosomal RNA
Source: RNAcentral
AUUGAACGCUGGCGGUAUGCUUUACACAUGCAAGUCGAACGGCAGCGCGGGCUUCGGCCUGGCGGCGAGUGGCGAACGGGUGAGUAAUGCAUCGGAACGUGCCCAGUAGUGGGGGAUAGCCCGGCGAAAGCCGGAUUAAUACCGCAUACGACCUGAGGGUGAAAGCGGGGGACCGAAAGGCCUCGCGCUAUUGGAGCGGCCGAUGUCGGAUUAGCUAGUUGGUGGGGUAAAGGCUCACCAAGGCGACGAUCCGUAGCUGGUCUGAGAGGACGACCAGCCACACUGGGACUGAGACACGGCCCAGACUCCUACGGGAGGCAGCAGUGGGGAAUUUUGGACAAUGGGGGCAACCCUGAUCCAGCCAUGCCGCGUGCGGGAAGAAGGCCUUCGGGUUGUAAACCGCUUUUGUUCGGGAAGAAAUCCUCUGGGCUAAUACCCCGGGGGGAUGACGGUACCGGAAGAAUAAGCACCGGCUAACUACGUG